GGUGACCUGCGGAGGAUCAUUA
This 22-nucleotide ribosomal RNA is filed under the name Capronia sp. 94005a. RNAcentral describes it as "partial 18S ribosomal RNA". Lineage: Eukaryota; Fungi; Ascomycota; Eurotiomycetes; Chaetothyriales; Herpotrichiellaceae. The record is from RNAcentral. RNAcentral also lists the same sequence under 7 other names.